Molecule: small RNA, 130 nt
Filed under: Klebsiella pneumoniae
Lineage: Bacteria; Pseudomonadati; Pseudomonadota; Gammaproteobacteria; Enterobacterales; Enterobacteriaceae
Description: RtT sRNA
Rfam family: RtT RNA
About the family: This family represents a bacterial cis-regulatory element known as RtT RNA. The exact function of RtT is unknown although it is thought that it may be involved in changing the cellular response in relation to amino acid starvation.
Source: RNAcentral
UCUGCCCCAUGGGGAAGGAUGAGAAGCUUCGACUAAGGUUCGACUCGAGCGCCAGCGAGAGAACGUUGCCGCAGGCAACGGCCCGAAGGGCGAGGCGCUUUAGCGCCGAGUAAUCCUUCCCCCACCACCA